GAUGAACGCUGGCGGCGUGCCUAAUACAUGCAAGUCGAGCGAACAGACGAGGAGCUUGCUCCUCUGACGUUAGCGGCGGACGGGUGAGUAACACGUGGAUAACCUACCUAUAAGACUGGGAUAACUUCGGGAAACCGGAGCUAAUACCGGAUAAUAUAUUGAACCGCAUGAUUCAAUAGUGAAAGACGGUUUUGCUGUCACUUAUAGAUGGAUCCGCGCCGCAUUAGCUAGUUGGUAAGGUAACGGCUUACCAAGGCAACGAUGCGUAGCCGACCUGAGAGGGUGAUCGGCCACACUGGAACUGAGACACGGUCCAGACUCCUACGGGAGGCAGCAGUAGGGAAUCUUCCGCAAUGGGCGAAAGCUUGACGGAGCAACGCCGCGUGAGUGAUGAAGGUCUUCGGAUCGUAAAACUCUAUUAUUAGGGAAGAACAAAUGUGUAAGUAACUAUGCACGUCUUGACGGUACCUAAUCAGAAAGCCACGGCUAACUACGUG
This 497-nucleotide ribosomal RNA is filed under the name uncultured bacterium. RNAcentral's name for it is "partial 16S ribosomal RNA". It matches the Rfam family "Bacterial small subunit ribosomal RNA", at positions 28 to 507 of the family's 1533-position model. The record is from RNAcentral.